CAGGAAAUUCUAGUAGUUCACUAAUAAUUCUGUCUUUAUUCCCAGGUAGAAGGUAAACAGAGUUGGUCUGUUUAUAUGAAACCAUAUUUUAAGCCUCUCAAGAAAUCCCCAAUCACAGAUUCUUCUGAUUAACAGAGAUAAUGCUUAUUAUAUUAAGCACCAUGUUACUCUGGAAUGAAGAAACAAAGAGUACAAAACUGCCACUCUGCAUGUACAUCAAUUUUUCCAGCGACCUAAGAGAAGAGAUCACAGUGUUUACAGCCAGAGGAUUCAGCCCUGGGUAUCUCUGCACAAGCUCAGAGGAUUCCACAUACACAGUCCUUCUCCUCCAUACCAUGUCCACCCAGGUUGGGUCCACAGUGGAAACUGCAUCUUCCAGACAACCAUUGUGAAGUGCUUCUUAUUGAAAAGGAGAGGAAAAGAACCUUUCUUG
This 433-nucleotide long non-coding RNA is filed under the name Ictidomys tridecemlineatus (thirteen-lined ground squirrel). RNAcentral's name for it is "lncRNA (ENSSTOG00000029500.1)". Lineage: Eukaryota; Metazoa; Chordata; Mammalia; Rodentia; Sciuridae. The record is from RNAcentral.